This 231-nucleotide long non-coding RNA is filed under the name Glycine max (soybean). Its description in RNAcentral is "long non-coding RNA (GMAX_LNC000827)". The record is from RNAcentral. Lineage: Eukaryota; Viridiplantae; Streptophyta; Magnoliopsida; Fabales; Fabaceae.
AUUCAGCUUAGCUGCCAUGACUGGCGCUUAGCUUCAUGAACCUUAGUUUGUUAUGGCCGUAAGGAAUUUAGCUUGGCGACAAUAGAUCGCGCUUAGCCAAGGAUAAGCUGUAGCUUAGCGAUCAGGCUGAAGCUUAGCCAAAUUCAUAUUGAAUUGAAGUUGGCUGAGCUCAGCCUUGGCCAGCUUAGCGGACCAAAUCAGCCUCCAAUGCAAGGGUUGGGCGCUAAGCAC